GACGAACGCUGGCGGCGUGCUUAACACAUGCCAGUCGAACGGAAAGGCCCUGCUUUUGUGGGGUGCUCGAGUGGCGAACGGGUGAGUAACACGUGAGUAACCUGCCCUUGACUUUGGGAUAACUUCAGGAAACUGGGGCUAAUACCGGAUAGGAGCUCCUGCUGCAUGGUGGGGGUUGGAAAGUUUCGGCGGUUGGGGAUGGACUCGCGGCUUAUCAGCUUGUUGGUGGAGUAGUGGCUUACCAAGGCUUUGACGGGUAGCCGGCCUGAGAGGGUGACCGGCGACAUUGGGACUGAGAUACGGCCCAGAAUCCUACGGGAGGCAGCAGGGGGGAAUAUUGCACAAUGGGCGGAAGCCUGAUGCAGCAACGCCGCGUGCGGGAUGACGGCCUUCGGGUUGUAAACAGCUUUCGCCUGUGACGAAGCGUGAGUGACGGUAAUGGGUAAAGAAGCACCGGCUAACUACGUG
This 468-nucleotide ribosomal RNA is filed under the name uncultured bacterium. RNAcentral's name for it is "partial 16S ribosomal RNA". It matches the Rfam family "Bacterial small subunit ribosomal RNA", at positions 28 to 507 of the family's 1533-position model. The record is from RNAcentral.